UCGAGAAUUUUUCUCAAUGGGGGAAACCCUGAAGGAGCGACGCCGCGUGGAGGAUGAAGGUCUUCGGGUUGUAAACUCCUGUCAUUUGGGAACAAGGUGCACGUGUUUACUGCACGUGUAUUGAUAGUACCAGAAGAGGAAGAGACGGCUAACUCUGUGCCAGCAGCCGCGGUAAUACAGAGGUCUCAAGCGUUGUUCGGAUUCAUUGGGCGUAAAGGGUGCGUAGGUGGCGCCAUAAGUCAGGUGUGAAAUUUCGGAGCUUAACUCCGAAACUGCAUUUGAUACUGUGGUGCUCGAGGACUGGAGAGGAGACUGGAAUUUACGGUGUAGCAGUGAAAUGCGUAGAGAUCGUAAGGAAGACCAGUGGCGAAGGCGGGUCUCUGGACAGUUCCUGACACUGAGGCACGAAGGCCAGGGGAGCAAACGGGAUUAGAUACCCCCGUAGUCC
This 448-nucleotide ribosomal RNA is filed under the name uncultured bacterium. Its description in RNAcentral is "bacterial SSU rRNA". It matches the Rfam family "Bacterial small subunit ribosomal RNA", at positions 355 to 796 of the family's 1533-position model. The record is from RNAcentral.